UCGAGCGAGGACUUCGGUCCUAGCGGCGGACGGGUGAGUAACGCGUGGGAACGUGCCCCUUGGUACGGAAUAGCCCCGGGAAACUGGGAGUAAUACCGUAUGAGCUCUACGGAGGAAAGAUUUAUCGCCAAGGGAUCGGCCCGCGUUGGAUUAGGUAGUUGGUGGGGUAAUGGCCUACCAAGCCGACGAUCCAUAGCUGGUUUGAGAGGAUGAUCAGCCACACUGGGACUGAGACACGGCCCAGACUCCUACGGGAGGCAGCAGUGGGGAAUCUUAGACAAUGGGCGCAAGCCUGAUCUAGCCAUGCCGCGUGAGCGAUGAAGGCCUUAGGGUUGUAAAGCUCUUUCAGCUGGGAAGAUAAUGACUGUACCAGCAGAAGAAGCCCCGGCUAACUCCGUGCCAGCAGCCGCGGUAAUACGGAGGGGGCUAGCGUUGUUCGGAAUUACUGGGCGUAAAGCGCACGUAGGCGGACUGGAAAGUCAGGGGUGAAAUCCCGGGGCUCAACCCCGGAACUGCCUUUGAAACUCCCAGUCUUGAGGUCGAGAGAGGUGAGUGGAAUUCCGAGUGUAGAGGUGAAAUUCGUAGAUAUUCGGAGGAACACC
RNAcentral lists this ribosomal RNA (602 nucleotides) under Gemmobacter caeni. Its description in RNAcentral is "bacterial SSU rRNA". It matches the Rfam family "Bacterial small subunit ribosomal RNA", at positions 62 to 710 of the family's 1533-position model. Lineage: Bacteria; Pseudomonadati; Pseudomonadota; Alphaproteobacteria; Rhodobacterales; Paracoccaceae. The record is from RNAcentral.